Molecule: ribosomal RNA, 492 nt
Filed under: uncultured bacterium
Lineage: Bacteria
Description: partial 16S ribosomal RNA
Rfam family: Bacterial small subunit ribosomal RNA
Source: RNAcentral
AGUGAACGCUGGCGGUAGGCCUAACACAUGCAAGUCGAACGGCAGCACAGUAAGAGCUUGCUCUUACGGGUGGCGGGUGGCGGACGGGUGAGGAAUACAUCGGAAUCUACUUUUUCGUGGGGGAUAACGUAGGGAAACUUACGCUAAUACCGCAUACGACCUACGGGUGAAAGCAGGGGAUCUUCGGACCUUGCGCGAUUGAAUGAGCCGAUGUCGGAUUAGCUAGUUGGCGGGGUAAAGGCCCACCAAGGCGACGAUCCGUAGCUGGUCUGAGAGGAUGAUCAGCCACACUGGAACUGAGACACGGUCCAGACUCCUACGGGAGGCAGCAGUGGGGAAUAUUGGACAAUGGGCGCAAGCCUGAUCCAGCCAUACCGCGUGGGUGAAGAAGGCCUUCGGGUUGUAAAGCCCUUUUGUUGGGAAAGAAAAGCAGCAGGUUAAUACCCCGCUGUUCUGACGGUACCCAAAGAAUAAGCACCGGCUAGCUUCGUG